Molecule: transfer RNA, 102 nt
Filed under: Streptomyces griseosporeus
Lineage: Bacteria; Bacillati; Actinomycetota; Actinomycetes; Kitasatosporales; Streptomycetaceae
Description: tRNA-Asp
Source: RNAcentral
GCGGUGUCCUGGGAGAUGUUGAUGACGUCGGCGCCCUUGUCGACGGCGUGCUUGAUCGCCUGGGCGAGGGUGCCGGCGGUGCCGUUGCCCUCGGCGUCGUUC